AUCCAACAGACGAGUCCUAAAUAAGACGAAACGCGCGUCCUGGAU
This 45-nucleotide non-coding RNA is filed under the name Schistosoma mansoni. The record is from RNAcentral. Lineage: Eukaryota; Metazoa; Platyhelminthes; Trematoda; Strigeidida; Schistosomatidae.